GCUACGAUUGAGUCAGCGAUCAAUCGGAAAAACUGUGCGAAACUCCGCGAGAAAACUCAAGAACACCGCAAACCUUCAAAGAAACUUGCAACUCCACCAAAAACCACUGCUCUUCCCACGGACAACCAAACGAGCGAAAGAACUCAACUCCACCGAACAAAUCGCGCGAAAACAGCAGAAAAAACCUCACUCCACCGAUCGAAAACCCAAACGAACGGUGUAAAACGCGAAUUCACCGAACAAAUUUCAAGCAAACAGCGAACGAUGGUUGCACCAGCACACAACCACGCAGAAAACUUCGAAAACCUCCAAGAACUCACGCUGUGGAUGGGAGCAAGUUUUAC
RNAcentral lists this long non-coding RNA (344 nucleotides) under Phaseolus vulgaris (common bean). RNAcentral describes it as "long non-coding RNA (PVUL_LNC000191)". The record is from RNAcentral. Lineage: Eukaryota; Viridiplantae; Streptophyta; Magnoliopsida; Fabales; Fabaceae.